GAGCUGGGGGUGGCCGCAGAGACCAGCGAGAAGCGACUGUUUACUAAAAACACAGGUCCGUGCGAAGCCGUAAGGCGAUGUAUACGGACUGACGCCUGCCCGGUGCUGGAACGUUAAGGGGACCGGUUAGCUGCUCUUCGGGGUGGCGAAGCUGAGAACUUAAGCGCCAGUAAACGGCGGUGGUAACUAUAACCAUCCUAAGGUAGCGAAAUUCCUUGUCGGGUAAGUUCCGACCUGCACGAAUGGCGUAACGACUUCUCGACUGUCUCAACCAUAGGCCCGGUGAAAUUGCACUACGAGUAAAGAUGCUCGUUUCGCGCAGCAGGACGGAAAGACCCCGGGACCUUUACUAUAGUUUGAUAUUGGUGUUCGGUUCGGCUUGUGUAGGAUAGGUGGGAGACUUUGAAGCGGCCACGCCAGUGGUUGUGGAGUCGUCGUUGAAAUACCACUCUGGUCGUGCUGGAUGUCUAACCUGGGUCCGUGAUCCGGAUCAGGGACAGUGUCUGAUGGGUAGUUUAACUGGGGCGGUUGCCUCCUAAAGAGUAACGGAGGCGCCCAAAGGUUCCCUCAGCCUGGUUGGCAAUCAGGUGUUGAGUGUAAGUGCACAAGGGAGCUUGACUGUGAGACCGACGGGUCGAGCAGGGACGAAAGUCGGGACUAGUGAUCCGGCAGUGGCUUGUGGAAGCGCUGUCGCUCAACGGAUAAAAGGUACCCCGGGGAUAACAGGCUGAUCUUCCCCAAGAGUCCAUAUCGACGGGAUGGUUUGGCACCUCGAUGUCGGCUCGUCGCAUCCUGGGGCUGGAGUCGGUCCCAAGGGUUGGGCUGUUCGCCCAUUAAAGCGGUACGCGAGCUGGGUUUAGAACGUCGUGAGACAGUUCGGUCCCUAUCCGCUGUGCGCGUAGGAAUAUUGAGAAGGGCUGUCCCUAGUACGAGAGGACCGGGACGGACGAACCUCUGGUGUGCCAGUUGUUCUGCCAAGGGCAUGGCUGGUUGGCUACGUUCGGAAAGGAUAACCGCUGAAAGCAUCUAAGCGGGAAGCCUGCUUCGAGAUGAGUAUUCCCACCAACUUGAUUGGUUAAGGCUCCCAGUAGACGACUGGGUUGAUAGGCCAGAUGUGGAAGCCCGGUAACGGGUGGAGCUGACUGGUACUAAUAGGCCGAGGGCUUGUCCUCAGUUGCUCGCGUCCACUGUGUU
This 1194-nucleotide ribosomal RNA is filed under the name Streptomyces sp. KhCrAH-43. RNAcentral's name for it is "bacterial LSU rRNA". It matches the Rfam family "Bacterial large subunit ribosomal RNA", at positions 1764 to 2925 of the family's 2925-position model. The record is from RNAcentral. Lineage: Bacteria; Bacillati; Actinomycetota; Actinomycetes; Kitasatosporales; Streptomycetaceae.